This 74-nucleotide transfer RNA is filed under the name Corynebacterium xerosis. Its description in RNAcentral is "tRNA-Met-CAT". It matches the Rfam family "tRNA". Rfam says of the family: Transfer RNA (tRNA) molecules are approximately 80 nucleotides in length. Their secondary structure includes four short double-helical elements and three loops (D, anti-codon, and T loops). RNAcentral also lists the same sequence under 3 other names. Lineage: Bacteria; Bacillati; Actinomycetota; Actinomycetes; Mycobacteriales; Corynebacteriaceae. The record is from RNAcentral.
GGCCCAGUAGCUCAGCUGGUUAGAGCAGCGGACUCAUAAUCCGUCGGUCGCGGGUUCAAGCCCCGCCUGGGCUA